Long non-coding RNA from Cylas formicarius (sweet potato weevil), 411 nucleotides. RefSeq lists it as uncharacterized. The record is from RefSeq and is a predicted model, not a curated record. NCBI's taxonomy places the organism in Eukaryota, Metazoa, Arthropoda, Insecta, Coleoptera, Brentidae. The transcript has 3 exons.
GUUUAUGUCUCCGGGAUAUUCAGGGUCUUUGGGACGAUUUUGCAAGUUUCAAGUAUUACGGACUUUUGCAUUUUUGUAACGAUGGUUUUAUUCGUUAUAUUCAGUCUUUCCAGGUAUCCUGCAAGCUUCUUGGUAACUAGCCCAGUGGCCGAUAUAAUUACAGGGAUAACAUGUACUGCUUUUAGGGUUGUGGUCCGAGGGAUGUGAGACGUCGAUGAAAUACGCCUUUUUAUUAGCCUUAUCCAGCAGAAUAAUGUCUGGUCUAUUGCUGGCUAUUGGUUUAUCUGUUACUAUAGGUGUAUCCCAGUAUAGCCGAUAAUUUUCGUUCUCAAGAACUGGAGCAGGUUCGACUUCUGCGUUUCUGUUGCUGUGAGCAGUCAAUUCUUCAUCAACCUCAGCGACCCCAUCAGG